RNAcentral lists this ribosomal RNA (403 nucleotides) under uncultured bacterium. Its description in RNAcentral is "partial 16S ribosomal RNA". It matches the Rfam family "Bacterial small subunit ribosomal RNA", at positions 28 to 526 of the family's 1533-position model. The record is from RNAcentral.
GACGAACGCUGGCGGCGUGCCUAAUACAUGCAAGUCGAACGCAGUGGGGACGGGUGAGUAACACGUGGGUAACCUCCCAUCAGAGGGGAUACCACUUGGAAACAGGUGCUAAACCGAUCUUGAUGGCUGGACCCGAUGUGCAUUAGCUAGUUGGUGAGGUAACGGCUCACCAAGGCCACGAUGCAUAGGCGACUGGAGAGGGUUAUCGGCCCAACAGUGAUGGAGAUACGGCCCAGACUCCGACGGGAGGCAGCAGUAGGGAAUUUGCGGAAAUGGACGAAAGUCUGACCGAGCAAAGCAGCGUGAGUGAAGAAGGUUUUCGGAUCGUAAAACUCUGUUGUUAGAGAAGCGGUAUCUAACCAGAAAGCCACGGCUAACUCCGUGCCAGCCGCCGCGGUAAUAC